Molecule: transfer RNA, 78 nt
Filed under: Gluconobacter sphaericus NBRC 12467
Lineage: Bacteria; Pseudomonadati; Pseudomonadota; Alphaproteobacteria; Acetobacterales; Acetobacteraceae
Description: tRNA-Gln
Rfam family: tRNA
About the family: Transfer RNA (tRNA) molecules are approximately 80 nucleotides in length. Their secondary structure includes four short double-helical elements and three loops (D, anti-codon, and T loops). Further hydrogen bonds mediate the characteristic L-shaped molecular structure. tRNAs have two regions of fundamental functional importance: the anti-codon, which is responsible for specific mRNA codon recognition, and the 3' end, to which the tRNAs corresponding amino acid is attached (by aminoacyl-tRNA synthetases). tRNAs cope with the degeneracy of the genetic code in two manners: having more than one tRNA (with a specific anti-codon) for a particular amino acid; and 'wobble' base-pairing, i.e. permitting non-standard base-pairing at the 3rd anti-codon position.
Source: RNAcentral
GGGGGCAUAGCUCAGCUGGGAGAGCACCUGCUNUUUGCAAGCAGGGGGUCGUCGGUUCGAACCCGUCUGCCUCCACCA